Molecule: ribosomal RNA, 419 nt
Filed under: uncultured bacterium
Lineage: Bacteria
Description: partial 16S ribosomal RNA
Rfam family: Bacterial small subunit ribosomal RNA
Source: RNAcentral
GAAUAUUGGUCAAUGGAGGGAACUCUGAACCAGCCAUGCCGCGUGCAGGAUGACUGCCCUAUGGGUUGUAAACUGCUUUUGUCCAGGAAUAAACACCACUACGUGUAGUGGCUUGAAUGUACUGGAAGAAUAAGGAUCGGCUCACUCCGUACCCGCAGCCGCGGUAAUACGGAAGAGCCGAGGGUUAUCCGGAUUUAUUGGGUUUAAAGGGUGCGUAGGCGGGUUAGUAAGUCAGGGGUGAAAGACGGCAGCUCAACUGUCGCAGUUGCUUUGAUACUGAUGAGCUUGAAUGUGGUUGAAGAUGGGGGAAUGAGACAAGUAGCAGUGAAAUUCAUAGAUAUGUCGCAGAACUCCGAUUGCGAAGGCAGCUGUCUAAGUCAUUAUUGACGCUGAUGCACGAAAGCGUGGGGAUCGAACAG